This 545-nucleotide ribosomal RNA is filed under the name Uroteuthis duvaucelii. RNAcentral's name for it is "partial 16S ribosomal RNA". It matches the Rfam family "Bacterial large subunit ribosomal RNA", at positions 1805 to 2597 of the family's 2925-position model. The record is from RNAcentral. Lineage: Eukaryota; Metazoa; Mollusca; Cephalopoda; Myopsida; Loliginidae.
UAUCAAAAACAUCUCUCUUUGUUAAUAAUAAAUAAGGAGUUGGGCCUGCUCGGUGAAUAUUUUUAACAGCUGCGGUAUUUUAACUGUACUAAGGUAGCAUAAUAAUUUGCCUUAUAAUUUGAGGCUAGAAUGAAUGGUUUGACGAAGGUUAAUCUGUCUCCAUUUUAUUUUUUAGAAAUUAAUUUUCAUAGUGAAAAAGCUUGAAUUUUUUAAAGGGACGAGAAGACCCUAUUGAGCUUAUAAUUUUAUUACUAUUAUGGUUAUUGAAUUUAUCAUUGUAGUAUAUAAAUUUUAAUUGGGGUGAUUAAGGAAUAAAUUUUUAUAAUGUAACUUCCUUAGAUUAUUAUAUUGUUAAAUUAGGUAACCGAUGUGAUUAGCACAAUGUGUGUUAUGUAUUGCUUAUAAUAUAGUUACCAUAGGGAUAACAGCGUAAUUUACUUAGAGAGUUCUUAUUGAAAAGUAAGAUUGCGACCUCGAUGUUGGAUUAAAGUAACCUUAAGGUGCAGAAGCUUUAUAAGGUAAAUCUGUUCGAUUUUUAAAACUUU